RNAcentral lists this ribosomal RNA (1334 nucleotides) under Protoperidinium monovelum. RNAcentral's name for it is "eukaryotic LSU rRNA". It matches the Rfam family "Eukaryotic large subunit ribosomal RNA", at positions 75 to 1411 of the family's 3401-position model. Lineage: Eukaryota; Dinophyceae; Peridiniales; Protoperidiniaceae. The record is from RNAcentral.
UCCCCUCAGUAAUGGCGAAUGAACAGGGGCCAGCUCAGCAUUAGAAUUGGAGCUUCGCGGCUCUGAAUUGUAGUCUGUAGACGCACCUCCAACCUAGGUGCAGGUGUAAGCCUCUUGGAAAAGAGCGCCAGGGAGGGUGAGAGCCCCUUUUCGUCGCCUGCAGCCCUAAGUGCACGGAGUGCAUUCUAAGAGUCACGUUCCUUGGGAUUGGAGCGCAAAGCGGGUGGUACAUUUCAUCCAAAGCUGAAUAUAGGUUUGAGACCGAUAGCAUACAAGUACCAUGAGGGAAAGGUGAAAAGGACUUUGGAAAGAGAGUUAAAGAGAGCCUGCCAUUGCUGAAACGGAAGCGAAUGACACCAGUAUGACUAUGCGAGAUUGCUGUGCGCCAAUGGAAGGACCCGUUGCUUCAACGCAAGUGUGGCGGUGGGCACCAGACCAGGACGCGCGUAGUGUUUCUUGUGUGGUUGGUUGUUGCAGCUGUGCUGUGUGGGGAAACAUACAAGUCCCUGGUAGCACUCUUACGGGGGUGUGAAUGAGCUUGUCUAUACCCGCUCGUGUAGCUGUUGAUGACUAAAUGGUGUCCUUCGACCCGUCUUGAAACACGGACCAAGGAGUCUAACACAUGUGCAAGUUCUUGGGUAGUAAAACCCACGAGCGUAAUGAAAGUGACUGCUGGGAUAAUUGCGCCAGCAACCGACCGAUCAUUUAGGUGAGGUUUGAGUAUGAGCAUAUCUGUUAGGACCCGAAAGAUGGUGAACUAUGCCUGUGAAGGGUAAACUCAGGGGAAACUCUGAUGGAGGCUCGUAGCGGUACUGACGUGCAAAUCGUUCGUCAAACAUGGGUAUGGGGGCGAAAGACUAAUCGAACCAUCUAGUAGCUGGUUCCCUCCGAAGUUUCCCUCAGGAUAGCUGGAGUUGUGCAGUUUUAUCAGGUAAAGCGAAUGAUUAGAGGAAUCAGGGACGCGUUGUCCUUGACCUAUUCUCAAACUUUAAAUGGGUAAGAUCCAGUAGUUACUUAGCUGAACUUCUGGGGUACAUGAUAACUCUAAGUGGGCCAUUUUUGGUAAGCAGAACUGGCGAUGAGGGAUGAACCUAACGCUGGGAUAAGGUGCUUAAUUUCUCGCUCAUCAGAUACCAUAAAGGGUGUUGGUUCAUUCUAACAGCAGGACGGUGGUCAUGGAAGUUGAAAUCCGCUAAGGAGUGUGUAACAACUCACCUGCCGAAUGGACUAGCCCCGAAAAUGGAUAGCGCUCAAGCGGGAGACCGAUACCCAACCAUUGCUGCAAACAUGCUGCGACAAUGAGUAGGAGGGCAUGGGGGCUUGUGAUGAAGCCU